This 3344-nucleotide long non-coding RNA is filed under the name Mus musculus (house mouse). RNAcentral's name for it is "long non-coding RNA chr9:115143563-115146907". Lineage: Eukaryota; Metazoa; Chordata; Mammalia; Rodentia; Muridae. The record is from RNAcentral.
UUUUUUUUUUAAAGAUUUAUUUAUUUAUUAUAUGUAAGUACACUGUAGCUGUCUUCAGACACUCCAGAAGAGGGAGUCAGAUCUCGUUAUGGAUGGUUGUGAGCCACCAUGUGGUUGCUGAGAUUUGAACUCCUGACCUUCGGAAGAACAGUCGGGUGCUCUUACCCGCUGAGCCAUCUCACCAGCCCCUCAGAUAUCAUCUUAAGAAGACGGAUCCUAGGUGUUUCUUCCUUUGAGGACCCAUGAGAUGGUUUUAUUAUUUUAAGAUACCUAAUUAAAGUCACACUGUCACUGUGUUUCUUCACUCCUGAGUGGGAGAACAGCCUUCGUUACCUUGUUUUGUUUGUGCCAUAAUUCUUGAAAGUGGAACUCUGGGCUGAGUGAGGUUAGGUUCCUUAGUGGGAGGCUGGAGCACCAGCUUCAGCCUGAGGGGCACAUCUCCAUCUUUACCAUCUUCACUGGCCUCACCCUUCCCAGAAUCCUCUCCUGCUCGCAGUCCUAGUACGCCACAGACGUAUACUUUACCCGAGCCCCUCACUGACAUGUAAGGUCUGUGUUCCUCUUGGGCCUUUUAAGGUGCCAUGCCUUAUAGACAGACUCCUUUCUUCCCUCCCUGACUCUUGGCAGCCAGUGGGUCACCUAGCCAACUUGACCUGUGGUUGCCAUUUCUCAGACGAGAAAGGUGCCUGUCCUAUGGUCAGCCCAGAACAGUGCCGGAGAAGGCGAGAUGGUGGCCAUUGUUUUUAAGAUGAUGAACCAGGCUUUUCGGAGGACCUACAGCUACUCACGGGAAAGCUGAGGAAAUGCCCCUUAAACAAAGGCAACUUUGUUUCCACUGAGAGUAACAUGUAACUAUGUUAACUCCAGGGACCACCCUUUGGAUGCAGUAUUGUGGGGUUUGAUGUAUUGGUAUGGGACAGAGGACAAGGGACAGAGCCAGCUGUCUAAGAAGAGAACCAUGUGCCCUCACUCGGCCUGACCCACUACCUUCCACUGCUUCUAAAUAUAGGUUGAAAUAAAGCCAAUCUAUCCCCAGAGUGAAAAUUUUCUCUCCGUUGUAGUGGGGAAAGAAUUACAGCAGGUGUUUAUUCUGCAGUUGGGAAACAGGAGCAAAAAAAUAGCCAAAGAACAGCUCAUGUGGGUAUUUGCUAAAAGGUUCAUUUAAAGGUGGUGAGUUAACAGAACCCUGGCAAGUCGGGAGGGUGAUUUGAAUAUUUUCUGGACCUGAAAGGAAAUGUGUUUUCCCUUUGCAAAUGCCACAAUUAGCAACAAUUAGCCCCAACCAUUGAUACAAAAAUAAUCACUGACAAAGAACGUCAUCUCUAGGGCAAACAGAAUCUAAAGCCUUGAACAUGAGUCUUUAGGACUCCUUAGGGACUUGACUGGCAUCACCCUGUACCAGCUGAGUGCCAAGAAAACAGGCUUUGGCCUUCUGUGUACACCCCAGGUACAGAAGCAGAAGGCAGGAGCUCUGAGAGUCUGAGGCAUUGUGAUUUCAGACCUGGAUGUGGGAAGGCAGACACUAGAAAGGCUGACAGGAAUCCAGAAAUGAGGGCUUUGUGGAGCCUUCAGGAGUCUGACCUGGAAGACGUUGGCCUGAGGGAGUGAGGCUGGCAGGUAUGGUGGGAGGGAGGCAGAAGAGACCUGUCAAGCUGGUGAUGGCGUGCUCAGAGUGGGCAGAUUCAGUGAAACCCCCUUUUGAUUUAAUUUUUCCCAUCCUGAGCUUUCUGGGCCAGGCGUUGUCUUUUUCCACUUGUUUGGCGAUGGUCACGAAGGAGGGAAGAAAUUUAUUCCUGUGACCCCGAGAGCUGCAUGAAGGAGCCAGAAAGUGCAUGAAGGAGAAUUGCCUCCUGAGAAGACAAAAGCCAGAGCUCCUUGUGGUAAUUUAGAUUUCCACGAAGUUAAUUGAAGUGUUAGGCCUGUGGACUUAAUGUGAAGGAGCAGACAGAGGUGCCAAUCAGGUUGGGGUUGUUCUCUAGACCUUAGAGAUUGCCAGAGGAAAGUGGACGCUGAAAGGAUACGAACUGAGCUCUUUCCCUUCAAGCUGUUUAGUCCUGAGUCCUACUGGCUUCCGGUUAAGAGUCUGUAGUGUAAAUGACAGGAAGAGGUGGUGUGCUCUGGGCUGGUGAGUGUGCAUUCACCAGAGGGGUGUGUCAGUCAUUGGUUAGUACAUCCUGGGACCCUCUGACUGGAAGCUGUGUAGCCCUGGGCCUCACGUCACACUGGCAUUGGCUUAGGGAACACCUCGUUUUCUGAAUAACUGUUCCUGACAAAAAGUGUUAAGUGAUGUUGUGGUUGACUCAAGCCCCGCUGUUUGAAGCCUCAGUGCAGCUCACCAGGAAGCUCACCUGCUCAGGAGCUGGAAUGGAAGAGGCCUGGGAGCCAGGAGUUUCAGGCCAGUUGGAGCAACAGAGAAAGACCCUAUCUCCUUUUCUGCAUGCUCCCCCAAUGCAAAUCAUCAUAUGUCUUGUGAAUUCUCUGUUGAGUUAAAGGCCAUCAUUGAGGCUGGUGAGUUGGCUUGCUGUACAAGCCUGGACAUCUAAGUUAAAUUCCUGGAACCUGUGUGGUGGUCAGAGUGUCCCCAGCCAACCCCAUAGGGCCACAUGUUUGAAUACUUGGUCUCAGCAGUUCUUGGAACUGUUUGGGAAGGAUUAGGAGGUGUGGCCUUUCUGGAGGAGGUGUGUCACUGGGCCUGGGCUGUGAGGUUUUAGGAAUCUGGAGUAAGGUUUCCUAGUAUGCCUCCUGCUUGUGGAUCAAGAUGUGAGCUCUCCCCUGUUCCCGCCUCUGUGCCUUUGCGCUGCUGUCAUGGACUCUAACCCUAUGAAACCAUAAGCCUGAAUAAACGCUUUCUUCUAUAAGUUGCCUUGGUCAUGGCGAUUUAUCACAGCAACAGAACGGUAAGACAGCACAUAAAUGUGGGAGGAAAGAGCCAUUUCUGCAGAGUUGUCCUCCUCUCUCCAUGUGUGUACCUCAGCAACCCCAGCAUCCUAUGCACAUAUGCAUGAUAAUAAUAAGUACAAUAAAAAAUUAUUAGUGCAAAGAAAAUCAUGUUACCUAUUUCCUUUAUUGGUUAUCUUUGUUGUUCAUAUUGAUUGGUAGAUUAAUAUUUAAAAUGAAAAUAUUCAGCCUGGGUAGUGAGCUGCAGGUAAAGUGGUUGGUGCACAAGUGUGGGGGUAUGGAGCCCAGCUACCAGCCAGUCUUGCUGAACCAGUGAAGAACCCUAUCUCAAAAAAUUAAUAGAGCAUGAGAAAGACAUCUGUUUGUCAUCAGCCUCUGGACUCUAUGUGUAUGUAUGUACAAUCAUAUAUACCUGUGCAUGAACACACACUGGCACAUACACAAAG